GCAUUCUGGACGGUACUUAACCGUACCUUCUCUUCGGAGCAGGAGUGACAGGUGGUGCAUGGUUGUCGUCAGCUCGUGUCGUGAGAUGUUGGGUUAAGUCCCGCAACGAGCGCAACCCUUAUCUUUAGUAGCCAGCGGUUCGGCCGGGCACUCUAGAGAGACUGCCAGGGAUAACCUGGAGGAAGGCGGGGAUGACGUCAAAUCAUCAUGCCCCUUAUGACUUGGGCUACACACGUGCUACAAUGGCGUAAACAAAGGGAAGCAAAGCUGUGAAGCCGAGCAAAUCUCAAAAAUAACGUCUCAGUUCGGACUGUAGUCUGCAACCCGACUACACGAAGCUGGAAUCGCUAGUAAUCGCAGAUCAGAAUGCUGCGGUGAAUACGUUCCCGGGUCUUGUACACACCGAA
This 407-nucleotide ribosomal RNA is filed under the name uncultured Aerococcus sp. Its description in RNAcentral is "bacterial SSU rRNA". It matches the Rfam family "Bacterial small subunit ribosomal RNA", at positions 986 to 1394 of the family's 1533-position model. The record is from RNAcentral. Lineage: Bacteria; Bacillati; Bacillota; Bacilli; Lactobacillales; Aerococcaceae.